Molecule: non-coding RNA, 468 nt
Organism: Canis lupus familiaris (dog)
Lineage: Eukaryota; Metazoa; Chordata; Mammalia; Carnivora; Canidae
Source: the annotation of a RefSeq genome assembly
AUGAAGUCUGUGCUCCAUUGGGUUUUCCAUGUUGCUAUUUUAAAAGGUGUCCAGGGUGAGGUGCAGCUGGUGGAGUCUGGGGGAGACCUGGUGAAGCCUGGGUUGCCCCUGAGACUCUCCUGUGUAGCCUCUGGAUUCACAUUCAGUAGUUACUGGAUAAGCUGGGUCCACCAGGCUCCAGGGAAAGGGCUUCAGUGGGUCUCAGUAAUGAACAAAUAUGGAAGUACCACAUACCAUGCAGAUGCUGUGAAGGGCCAAUUUACCAUCUUCAGAGACAAUGCCAAGAACACACUGUAUCUGCAGAUGAACAGCCUGAGAGCUGAGGACAUGGAUGUAUAUUACUGUGUACACACCGUGAGGGGACCACAGCAUGAGCUCAGACACAAACCUCUCUUACCACGCUAUCUUGAUGACAAAGGCUUUAUAAUAGAGAUUCUCUGCAAACAUUGUUAUGCCCUGCAGCUGUAG